AAUAGCUGCAGUAUUUUGACUGUACAAAGGUAGCAUAAUCAUUAGUUUUUUAAUUGAAAGCUUGUAUGAAUGGCUGAAUGAGAAAGAGACUGUCUAUUUAAAAUUUUAAAAGAAUUUUAUUUUUAAGUUAAAAAGCUUAAAUAUUAUUAAAAGACGAGAAGACCCUAUAGAGUUUAACUAAAUUUAUAUUUAUUUAAUUUAAGAAUUUUAUAUUUAAAAAUGUAAUAUUUAAUUUGAUUGGGGUGAUCUUAAAAUUUAAAAAACUUUUAUAAAUUUAUAACAUUUAUUUAUGAGUCUAUGAUCCAUUAUUAAUGAUUAAUAGAUUAAAUUACCUUAGGGAUAACAGCGUAAUUUUUUUGGAGAGUUCUUAUUGAUAAAAAAGAUUGCGACCUCGAUGUUGGAUUAAAAUUAACUAUUGGCGCAGAAGUUGAUGGGUUAGGUCUGUUCGACCUUUAAAAUUUUACAUGAUCUGAGUUUAAACCGGUGUGAGCCAGGUUGGUUUCUAUCUUUAAUUGAUUAUAAUAUUUUAGUACGAAAGGACCGAUUAUAUAUAAAAUUUAUUUGAUAUAGUUUAAUAUUAAAAUUGUUAUUUUGGCAGAUUAGUGCAUUAAAUUUAGAAUUUAAUUAUGUAUGUAAAUACAGAUAAUACUUGAUAUGGUUAGAUAUUUUGUUAAUAUUAAUUAGAAGAUUAAUUUUGAUUAUUUGUGUUUUAGUAGGAGUU
This 721-nucleotide ribosomal RNA is filed under the name Deltostethus scitulus. Its description in RNAcentral is "partial 16S ribosomal RNA". The stretch from base 1 to 533 matches the Rfam family "Bacterial large subunit ribosomal RNA", at positions 1926 to 2925 of the family's 2925-position model. The record is from RNAcentral. Lineage: Eukaryota; Metazoa; Arthropoda; Insecta; Coleoptera; Hydrophilidae.